This 380-nucleotide ribosomal RNA is filed under the name uncultured bacterium. RNAcentral's name for it is "bacterial SSU rRNA". It matches the Rfam family "Bacterial small subunit ribosomal RNA", at positions 29 to 393 of the family's 1533-position model. The record is from RNAcentral.
AACGAACGCUGGCGGCGUGGAUAAGACAUGCAAGUCGAACGGGACUAAAUCUGUAGCAAUACAGGUUUAGUUUAGUGGCGAACGGGUGCGUAACACGUGGGCAAUCUGCCGAGAAGUGGGGGAUAGCUCGCCGAAAGGACGAAUUAAUACCGCAUAUGAUCAGCUAAGACAUCUUAGCGACAUCAAAGCCGGGGCGAACCUGGCGCUUCUCGAUGAGCCCGCGGCCUAUCAGCUAGUUGGUGAGGUAACGGCUCACCAAGGCUAUGACGGGUAGCUGGUCUGAGAGGACGACCAGUCACACUGGAACUGAGACACGGUCCAGACACCUACGGGUGGCAGCAGUCGAGAAUUUUUCUCAAUGGGGCAACCCUGAAGGAGCG